This 253-nucleotide ribosomal RNA is filed under the name uncultured bacterium. RNAcentral's name for it is "partial 16S ribosomal RNA". It matches the Rfam family "Bacterial small subunit ribosomal RNA", at positions 524 to 776 of the family's 1533-position model. The record is from RNAcentral.
UACGGAGGGUCCAAGCGUUAUCCGGAAUCAUUGGGAUUAAAGGGUCCGUAGGCGGUUUUGUAAGUCAGUGGUGAAAGCCCAUCGCUCAACGGUGGAACGGCCAUUGAUACUGCAAGACUUGAAUUAUUGGGAAGUAACUAGAAUAUGUAGUGUAGCGGUGAAAUGCUUAGAGAUUACAUGGAAUACCAAUUGCGAAGGCAGGUUACUACCAAUAUAUUGACGCUGAUGGACGAAAGCGUGGGGAGCGAACAGG